GACGAACGCUGGCGGCGUGCUUAACACAUGCAAGUCGAACGGGUCUGCCCUGUUUUUUGCGGGGUGGGUCAGUGGCGAACGGGUGAGUAACACGUGAGUAACCUGCCCCUCACUUCUGGAUAACCGCUUGAAAGGGUGGCUAAUACGGGGUGUUCUGGCUGUGCCGCAUGGUGUGGCUGGGAAAGAUUCACUUUUGUGGUGUUUUGGUGGGGGAUGGGCUCGCGGCCUAUCAGCUUGUUGGUGGGGUGAUGGCCUGCCAAGGCUUUGACGGGUAGCCGGCCUGGGAGGGUGGGCGGUCACACUGGGACUGAGAUACGGCCAGGACUCCUGCGGGAGGCAGCAGUGGGGGGUAUUGCACAAUGGGCGGAAGCCUGAUGCAGCGACGUCGCGUGAGGGAUGGAGGCCUUCGGGUUGUGAACCUCUUUCGCCGGUGAAGAAGGUCCUGCUCUUUGUGGUGGGGUUGACGGUAGCCGGGUUAUGAAGCGCCGGCUAACUACGUG
Molecule: ribosomal RNA, 500 nt
Filed under: uncultured bacterium
Lineage: Bacteria
Description: partial 16S ribosomal RNA
Rfam family: Bacterial small subunit ribosomal RNA
Source: RNAcentral